Molecule: non-coding RNA, 468 nt
Organism: Callorhinus ursinus (northern fur seal)
Lineage: Eukaryota; Metazoa; Chordata; Mammalia; Carnivora; Otariidae
Source: RefSeq, a predicted model, not a curated record
AAAGGGCGUGGAGCGUGGGACUCCGACCACAGGAAUUGAACCAAGGGCAUAACUUGGAAAAACCCGGACAAGAACCCUCUUUAGACCCAUUAAGCCUGUUUGGAGAUCCUAAGAGAUGAUUUUUAACAAGCAUUGGCUUUGCAGAGCGUCCAGUCCACUAACCUCAUUUAAUCUGCACUAUGAACUCCGAAGAGGACGACUCAAGAGAGGGUCCUUUCCUGGCAUGUCUUCACUGAGGGGUCUUACCACCUUGAUUUUGCCUGUCUUCAAAAACAAAACAAAACAAAACAAAAACUGUUGCUGGGGCUCUCUGUCUUUCCGAAUGCCUUUUGAUUAUUGCAGCCACUGAGAAGAAAACCAAUCUUGUGAAGAAAAUGGUCAAUAAAACUAUGAGCUCUAAGCAAGAGAAAAAUAGUUUCCCCUGCAAUUUGAAACAAUUUCUGUUGAUUAUAUGUAUUGUAAACUCAU